Molecule: transfer RNA, 74 nt
Filed under: Proteiniborus sp. DW1
Lineage: Bacteria; Bacillati; Bacillota; Clostridia; Eubacteriales
Also listed under: 2 other names
Description: tRNA-Gly
Rfam family: tRNA
About the family: Transfer RNA (tRNA) molecules are approximately 80 nucleotides in length. Their secondary structure includes four short double-helical elements and three loops (D, anti-codon, and T loops).
Source: RNAcentral
GCGGGUGUUGCUUAGUGGUAGAGCACCGGCUUCCCAAGCCGGUUGUGAGGGUUCGAUUCCCUUCACCCGCUCCA